This 254-nucleotide ribosomal RNA is filed under the name uncultured bacterium. RNAcentral's name for it is "partial 16S ribosomal RNA". It matches the Rfam family "Bacterial small subunit ribosomal RNA", at positions 524 to 776 of the family's 1533-position model. The record is from RNAcentral.
UACGUAGGGUGCAAGCGUUGUCCGGAAUUAUUGGGCGUAAAGAGCUCGUAGGCGGUCUGUCGCGUCGGCUGUGAAAACCCGGGGCUCAACCCCGGGCCUGCAGUCGAUACGGGCAGACUAGAGUGCGGUAGGGGAGACUGGAAUUCCUGGUGUAGCGGUGAAAUGCGCAGAUAUCAGGAGGAACACCGGUGGCGAAGGCGGGUCUCUGGGCCGUAACUGACGCUGGAGGAGCGAAAGCGUGGGGAGCGAACAGG